RNAcentral lists this ribosomal RNA (497 nucleotides) under uncultured bacterium. RNAcentral's name for it is "partial 16S ribosomal RNA". It matches the Rfam family "Bacterial small subunit ribosomal RNA", at positions 28 to 507 of the family's 1533-position model. The record is from RNAcentral.
GAUGAACGCUGGCGGCGUGCCUAAUACAUGCAAGUCGAACGAACAGAUGAGGAGCUUGCUCCUCUGACGUUAGCGGCGGACGGGUGAGUAACACGUGGAUAACCUACCUAUUAGACGGGGAUAACUACGGGAAACCGGAGCUAAUACCGCAUAAUAUAUUGUACCGCAUGGUUCAAUAGUGAAAGGCGCUUUUGCUGUCACAUAUAGAUGAAUUCGGGUCGCAUUAGCUAGUUGGUAAGGUAACGGCUUACCAAGGCAACGAUGCGUAGCCGACCUGAGAGGGUGAUCGGCCACACUGGAACUGAGACACGGUCCAGACUCCUACGGAAGGCAGCAGUAGGGAAUCUUCCGCAAUGGGCGAAAGCCUGACGGAGCAACGCCGCGUGAGUGAUGAAGGUCUUCGGAUCGUAAAACUCUGUUAUUAGGGAAGAACAAAUGUGGAAUUAACUAUGCACGUCUUGACGGUACCUAAUCAGAAAGCCACGGCUAACUACGUG